CCAAGACUCGGAGUCCAACAUCACACAAAGCCCUCCCUGGGAAGGGGACAGAAGGACAGAGGGUUGAAAAAUCACGAAUCUGAGCCACCCGUGGAAGCUAGAGGAAGCUAAGGUCUUGGAGACUCAGCUGCACUAUGGCGGGGCUGGUGCAGAGACCUGUCUGAAGCAGGAACCCAGAUCUGAAGGGCAGGACCAAAGGCAAGCAGCACUCCUGGCUCAAAGGCAAGAAACAAGAAGAAGGGGAAACUGGCAACGACAAAGAUCCGUGGUGUGGGACGUGGUCCAAACAUGUGUACCCGUGAAGGUGGAGAUGUGACCAGGAUGACCAGCCCCUUUCCCUAGUGUUCAGAGACUACCCUCAUCCACACCCACACCCUCCUGUGCCUGGCUGAGGUCUGAGGAUCUUCUGUACCAGGAGAAGAUGGCCCAGAUGCGCUGGACUCUCAGAUACGGAUGGAUGGCGUCUUUGGAAGUCCUGAACACUUUGAGGUGUUCUCUUCAUGCAUUCUGGGAUACUCACUAAUGAAACCCCAAUGAAUGAAGAAUCCUACACCAUGCUAACGCUCAGACCGCCAUAUUUCACACAUCCUAUAUCAUCUGUGGCCUCUUGUUUUUACCUCAGCCAGUGCUGUGGAGUACGUGGCUCUGACCUUUGAUUCUGCUUUGUAAAUAAGGAAGCUGAGGGGCCACGGGGAUGUGCAACUUGCUGAAGGUCACACAGCCACAGAGGGCAGAGGCUGGGCUCACACCGCUCCCACUGAUUCUGGACCCCCCCCCCCCCGAGAGCCACCAUUUAGUGAUCUCCUGGGAUACGUACAGCAAGGAUAUGCUAGCAAUGUUUUUAGACCGAAACUGCUCGCUGGGUUACCAUUAGCCUGACCACAAAUGCUUCUCAGGAAGAGGCCGAGGAGUUGGAGGUGAGGUCAGUGGUAAAGGGCUGGCAGCAUGCAGAGGCCCCUAGGUUCUAUUCUUGGCACCGAGAAGGGUGGAAGAAGGAGAGGGAAAGACAAGAGAGGAGAAGGAGUAAGGAUUGGUGGUGUCUGUGGAGUCAGCUGAGCCAUUUGGGGAUAUACUGACCAGAGUGGCAGCUGCCUAGAAAGAUUUAAUCAAUUUUUAAAUUGUGUGUUUGUGUGUGUGUGAGUUGAGUGAGUGAAUGAAUGUCCAUGCCAUAACACACAUGUGGAGUUCAGAGACCGCUGGCGGGAGUCAGUCCUUUCGUUCGACCAUGUGGGGCUCAGACACGGAACUCAGGCUUGAGAGCAAGUACCUUUACUCCACCGAGUCGUGCCACGGGCCUCACAACUGCCUAAAUAAAAAGGAAAGGUAAAAAAAAAUCCCAGUCUCCCAUAGUCUACCAUGUAGCUCCCUUCACCAUGGUUUGUGUGGUUCUAAAAGGUCAGCACGAGCCAAGCAUGUUGGUGCACGCCCGUCAUCCUUCUCCUCAGGAGUUGGAGGGGGAGGGUCACAGCCGAAGCCAGUGCCUGCCUGCCACCCUGCUCCUCAGUGAGCUGGAGGGGGAUGGUCAAAUUCAAAGGUCAAGGCCAGUCUAAGUUACCUAUGAAGACCUUCUAUAAAACAACAAACAGCCCCAAGAGUUGAAAGUAGUUAUUGCUGGAAAAGGAUCAGUCAUUCAUGAAUGACUUUGAUCUAUGCUCAUAAGUAACAUUGGAAAUUAAACAAAAUCCAAAGUGAAAAUCAAAAGAAUUCUGGCUCCAGUCAGGGAGGAAGGGAAAUGACUACGGUGGAGAGAAAGGAGACCUAGGAGGAGGUCGGGCUUCCUUGUUCAUCACACAAAGAAAAGGACCUGAGCCAGGGAUUGACAUUGGUGGUGAGUUCUUGGGCUGGGAACAUAGCUCGAAGGGUAAAGUAUCUGCCUAGCAGUUACGAGAUCCUCUUGGGAUCAGUCCCUAGCACGGUAUAACACUAGGCACGAUAGCAAAUAUCUUUAAUCCCAUCAUUCGGAGUGUAGAGGAAAGGGGAUACAUAAUAAGUUUGAGGCUAGCCUUGGCUUCACGAGACUAACUCAAAAGAGCAGAGGAAGGGGAGCUAGGGAGACGGCUCAGAGGAAAGAGAGCUUGUUGCCCAGACAUGAGGACCUGAAUUCUGAUCCACAGUACCCAUAUGAGAAGCUAGACUCAGCAACAUGCUGCUGGGAACUCAGAGCUGGGGAGGUGAAAACCAGAGAUCCCUGGGGCUAAAUAAUCAAAUCUGUGAGCUCAGUGAGAAACUAUGUCUCAAAAAAUGAGACAGAGAGUAGCUGGGGAAGACAUCCAGCAUCAGUGUCUAACAAAUGAAUAUGUACACUUGUGUAUACACACACACACACACACACACACACACACACA
Molecule: long non-coding RNA, 2345 nt
Organism: Myodes glareolus (Bank vole)
Lineage: Eukaryota; Metazoa; Chordata; Mammalia; Rodentia; Cricetidae
Source: RefSeq, a predicted model, not a curated record